Molecule: long non-coding RNA, 2468 nt
Filed under: Dromaius novaehollandiae (emu)
Lineage: Eukaryota; Metazoa; Chordata; Aves; Casuariiformes; Dromaiidae
Description: lncRNA (ENSDNVG00000019206.1)
Source: RNAcentral
CUUGGAAGAAGUGCAUCCUACUAGAUGUUUAUAUGAACCUAAGCGUCAUAACCCACAGAAGUGGAGCACAUGGUUAAUAAACUGGAAUACGGAAUCAGUUUUAAAAGACUUGAAUUAUUUUCCUUUCAUUAUAGUUUAUAAAAUAUAUUCAAUUUAAGGUGUCAUUUUUAUGUGUUUCCAUAACUUGUGCCAUUACAGACGUUUAUUUGAAAAUACAAUUGUGACUGUUUUUACAUACCAUUGGAUUUCUUGAUGUUAAUUUUAGGACAUUUAUAUGAAGGCAACACUUCUUUACUGAUUCCUGUUAUGUUCUGGGCUUGUGUGUUAGGUGAUGUUCGCUUGGCCCUGAAAUCAGUCUGGAAUUUCUUCUGCUAUGAAUUGCCUGGAGAAGUCUUGCUAUUGGAAUACUAGUAUCUAUUCUCCCUACUUAUAAAAUAACCAACCUUCCACUUACGAAACUGACAYUUUGUUGUCAAACUAUGGCUUGGUAGUGCUGCUGCCUGAAUUAAAGGAAUGUGGUGGAUGGAAGUGUUAGUAAAAAGAUUACUCAGGAGUGAGUUCUUGGUAGGAAUAGUUAUCUGAAGUAAAGAUGUUAUUGCACUGAGAAAAAGAUACAUGCAGAACACCCACUGUAAGUAGCUGUAAGUAAAUUCUUUCAAUUCAUCUUUAGGAGUUUUAUUAGAAAUUGAUGCAAUACUUUCAGAAUUGGGGCGUAAACAUAACUAAAAUAUUUUUGCAGUUGCAUGGGUUGCAGAGAUACAUGAAAUAAAUCUGUACAGAACCUUAUGGAAUGAGACUACGAAAAGCUGCAAGCCACGAGCUAAUGCAUAGGCUUUGUCUUUUGCAUUUAUCUCUGCUGCAACUUGUAAUCCUUUCAGAGCACAAGAAUGCUGAAGUAGAAUUGGAAGAGGAAAUUCAGUCUGUUCUUCAUGAAGCUCUCCAUUCCCAGUCUGGAGGGAGACAUGAAGAUGUAGAUGAAAGCAUAAAUGACCAGUGGCAAGUGAAGGAAGAAAUACAUGAAGAAGCUUUUGGAACUCCUACAGCAGAUGACUUACAUGGAGAAUCAGAGAAUGAAAUGCCAGAAGCAUAUGAGUUGCCAGAUUCAAUUCAGAAAGAAACUGAUGUUUUAGCAGAUGAUCUUGGAGCAAUGGAGCCUGAAACGUAUGAAGUUCCAGUUUCAUUUGAUUAUGAUAUGGGUGUGGAAAACACAGUAAGUGAGCCAGAAGCUCCAGGUGAUACUGAGCUAAUGCGAGAAGAUGCUAUUGAACAUCAUACAGAGGACAGAGUGCAUGGGGAUUACAAUGAAGAACACGAACCAAAACAGGAAGAGGAGACUGGGAGCCAAGAUACAGCUGUCGAGGACGUUCCUGAGGAGAUAAAUGAAGUCACAGAGCCGGAUGAAGUUAUUGAAGAUUUGGAAAUUGAUGAAAAGCUGUCAGUAGAAAGUAAACAUACCGAAGAUAAAGUGGCGACUGAGCCUGAGGAAUCAGAUACUUAAAGCUUCAAAAGAAAAGUCCUACAUCAGGAGGACCGGCCCUAACCAUACGCUACAAAAGGGGAGCAGAUGGUUGUAAUAGACCUCACGAUGUAAUUACUGAGCAGUUCAGGGUUUGGGGAGUGAACACUAAAAUAUUGUAAAUGGGUUAUAGCCAACUGUCAUUUUAGUACGCUUUUUUUAACAUUUGGAUGUUUAAUUUACAUUCCUGUCUGAUUUUUUCUUGUCAAGUUCAGUGAAUUCAUUAGUUUCAUUUUUCUUCUGUGUUUGUGACAGGCUUGUGAGUUUGAUCUGCAUUUUAUAUGUGCUGUUCAAGCAAUUUGUUAAUAUUCUAUUUAUAAUGUAGCAGCAAGCACAUUUUUUCAGAUUUUAAUAUAUAUCUUUUGUUGUGGAUUCAUACAGUAUGUAUAGAGCAGUUUGGUCAAAUGAAGCGCAUAAUAUUAUGAAUUUUUACGUGUUUUAUAACUGCUGAUAUAGCAUACAGCCUAAAUGCAUUUUAUUGGAAACAGUAAUCAGACACACACCGAGCUGUGAAGUUUGACCUAUAUCUCUUUGCACUGAUGUUAUGUCAUCAGUUACACUACAUCAAUUUCAGGUCAUUUAAAAUAGUCUAACAAUUUACAAAAUGCGUAUGUUUAAUUCGUAGCAGUAAAAUGGCAGAUUACUAAAUUACUUUUUUCAGAAACCUUUUAUGUAUGAAUUACAGCAUUUUAUUUAUGCACAUUUGAUUUUAAAGCAAAAAGAAGUCUUGAAACUACAUAAUGGUCUGACAGGGAGUCAGUGAAGAUUGAAACAUAGCUGAGUAGCUAGUAUCAAGUUGAGUUUAGUAAAAUUCUUCUAUUUUGCCCACAAAUAUAAUGGUACCACAGCUGGAUUCAGGAAGCUGGAUUCAGUGAACUCUUGACAAAGUUAAAUUUGCAUAAAUACUGGGCUUGUAAAUAAAAAAAAAAAAAUCAGCUUUGGAACUUUAACC